This 468-nucleotide ribosomal RNA is filed under the name uncultured bacterium. Its description in RNAcentral is "partial 16S ribosomal RNA". It matches the Rfam family "Bacterial small subunit ribosomal RNA", at positions 28 to 507 of the family's 1533-position model. The record is from RNAcentral.
GACGAACGCUGGCGGCGUGCCUAACACAUGCAAGUCGAACGGUAAGGCCCUGCGUUUGUUCGGUUCUCGAGUGGCGAAAGGGUGUGUAUCACGCGGGUAUCCUCCGCUUUACAUUGGGAUAACUUCAGGAAAAUGGGUCUCAUAUCGCAUAGGACCUUCUGCUACACGGUGCGUGUAGGUAAGAUUCGCUGGUUCGGCAUGGACACGCGGCUCUUCAUCUUGUUGGCGGGGUAGUGGCUUACCAAGGCGUGGACGGGUCGCCAGCCUGCGAGGGUGACCGGCCCCAGUGGGACUGAGAUACGGCCCAGACUCCUACGGGAGGCAGCAGUGGGGAAUAGUGCACAAUGGGCGGAGGCCGGAUGCAACAACGCCGCGUGGUGGAUGACGGCCUUCGGGUUGUAAACCGCGUUCGCCUGUGACGAAGCGUGAGUGACGGUAAUGGGUAAAGAAGCACCGGCUAACUACGUG